Molecule: transfer RNA, 74 nt
Filed under: Triticum turgidum subsp. durum (durum wheat)
Lineage: Eukaryota; Viridiplantae; Streptophyta; Magnoliopsida; Poales; Poaceae
Also listed under: 1 other name
Description: Triticum durum (durum wheat) tRNA
Rfam family: tRNA
About the family: Transfer RNA (tRNA) molecules are approximately 80 nucleotides in length. Their secondary structure includes four short double-helical elements and three loops (D, anti-codon, and T loops).
Source: Rfam by way of RNAcentral
GGGGAUGUAGCUCAAUUGGUAGGGUGCUAAUCAAUGAUGAAUAGAGGCAUGGGGUUUGAUUCCUCGCAUCUCCA